AAUCCUGGUUGAAGAUGGGUGGACCAUCAUCCAAGGCUAAAUACUACUUACUGACCGAUAGUGAACCAGUACCGUGAGGGAAAGGUGAAAAGAACCCCGGAGAGGGGAGUGAAAUAGAAUCUGAAACCGUUUGCGUACAAGCAGUGGGAGCAUGGUUUAGGCUGUGUGACUGCGUACCUUUUGUAUAAUGGGUCAGCGAGUUACUUUCAGUGGCGAGGUUAACUGAAUAAGGGAGCCGUAGAGAAAUCGAGUCUGAAUAGGGCGAUAGUCGCUGGGAGUAGACCCGAAACCGGGCGAUCUAGCCAUGUGCAGGAUGAAGGUUGGGUAACACCAACUGGAGGUCCGAACCGGGUAAUGUUGAAAAAUUAUCGGAUGACGUGUGGCUAGGAGUGAAAGGCUAAUCAAGCCCGGAGAUAGCUGGUUCUCCCCGAAAGCUAUUUAGGUAGCGCCUCGUGAAUGAUUACUGGGGGUAGAGCACUGUUUCGGCUAGGGGGCUGUCAUGGCUUACCAAACCGAUGCAAACUCCGAAUACCGGCUAAUUGAAUCACGGGAGACACACGGCGGGUGCUAACGUCCGUCGUGGAGAGGGAAACAACCCAGACCGCCAGCUAAGGUCCCCAAGUACUAGUUAAGUGGGAAACGAUGUGGGAAGGCAUAGACAGCCAGGAGGUUGGCUUAGAAGCAGCCACCCUUUAAAGAAAGCGUAAUAGCUCACUGGUCGAGUCGGCCUGCGCGGAAGAUGUAACGGGGCUAAAACUAGUCACCGAAGCUGCGGAUGUGCGCGAAGGCGCACGUGGUAGGGGAGCGUUCUGUAGGCUGAUGAAGGUGCAUUGAGAAGUGUGCUGGAGGUAUCAGAAGUGCGAAUGCUGACAUGAGUAACGAUAAUGUGGGUGAAAAGCCCACACGCCGGAAGUCCCAGGUUUCCUGCACGACGUUAAUCGGAGCAGGGUGAGUCGGCCCCUAAGGCGAGGCUGAAGAGCGUAGUCGAUGGGAACCAGGUUAAUAUUCCUGGACUUUUUAUAAGUGGUGAAGUGGGGACGAAGAAGGCUAGGUGAGCCAGGCGUUGGUUGUCCUGGUACUUGCAUGUAGGGGGGAAGACUUGGCAAAUCCGGUUUUCCAUAACUCUGAGGUGCGAAGUGGUUCUGACCUUUUGGUACAGAGAAGUCAUUGAUGCCCGGCUUCCAGGAAAAGCUGCUAGCCAUAACUUAUAGAGAACCGUACCGCAAACCGACACAGGUGGACAGGUAG
This 1248-nucleotide ribosomal RNA is filed under the name Legionella pneumophila. RNAcentral's name for it is "partial 23S ribosomal RNA". It matches the Rfam family "Bacterial large subunit ribosomal RNA", at positions 430 to 1674 of the family's 2925-position model. The record is from RNAcentral. Lineage: Bacteria; Pseudomonadati; Pseudomonadota; Gammaproteobacteria; Legionellales; Legionellaceae.